UACGUAGGGGGCAAGCGUUGUCCGGAUUUAUUGGGCGUAAAGGGCGCGUAGGCGGUUUCUUAAGUUUGGAGUGACAGUGGGUGGCUUAACUACCCAAGGCCUCUGAAAACUGGGGAACUUGAGGACCAGAGAGGGACAUAGAAUUCCGGGUGGAGUGGUGAAAUGCGUAGAUAUCCGGAGGAAUACCAAAGGCGAAGGCAGUGUCCUGGAGGGUGACUGACGCUGAGGCGCGAAAGCUAGGGGAGCAAACAGG
Molecule: ribosomal RNA, 253 nt
Filed under: uncultured bacterium
Lineage: Bacteria
Description: partial 16S ribosomal RNA
Rfam family: Bacterial small subunit ribosomal RNA
Source: RNAcentral